Acanthaster planci (crown-of-thorns starfish) is the source of this 463-nucleotide long non-coding RNA. The record is from RefSeq and is a predicted model, not a curated record. Lineage: Eukaryota; Metazoa; Echinodermata; Asteroidea; Valvatida; Acanthasteridae.
UUGAGCUUUGAACGGGUACGGAUAGGUUCUCUACGUUGCUGUGCGAGUGAAGCCUGCUAGAAGAGCCACCCGUCCAAGAAGACCGUGGACAAUGAGGAUAUGCUAGCAUACACGGUGAAGCAUUGUCCAAAUGAAAAAAAGCAGAGCCACUACAAAAUAUCACGAUGGCAUGCAGAAGCCCCAAAAGGCCUUUGCCUAUUUACCACUCAUCCCCUGAUUGCAACGAUGAUCCAGGAUGCCAGUAAUUGCCAGAAGUCUUCAGCAGCAUGAGUUGGUAGAGGAACAAAAUCCUGUGAAUGAUAUUCACAUGUAACCUGCUCGGAAACUCAUGUAUGAUAACGGUAAUGCCAAUUCUGUGAAAGUUUUUGGUUUGUUCUAAAAUUGUUACAUCUUAGAGUUUUUAACUAGUCUCAACACUGUUAACUUUGUAAAACCACCUUUAAACCAGCUAAUCUCGAUGCUG